Molecule: ribosomal RNA, 586 nt
Filed under: uncultured bacterium
Lineage: Bacteria
Description: bacterial SSU rRNA
Rfam family: Bacterial small subunit ribosomal RNA
Source: RNAcentral
UUAGGUAGUUGGUGGGGUAACGGCCUACCAAGCCGAUGAUCCGUAGGGGGCGUGAGAGCGUGGCCCCCCACACUGGCACUGAGACACGGGCCAGACUCCUACGGGAGGCAGCAGUGAGGAAUAUUGCACAAUGGGCGCAAGCCUGAUGCAGCAACGCCGCGUGAGGGACGAAGGCCUUCGGGUCGUAAACCUCUUUUCUGGGGGACGAGUAAGGACGGUACCUCAGGAAUAAGUCUCGGCUAACUACGUGCCAGCAGCCGCGGUAAAACGUAGGAGGCGAGCGUUAUCCGGAUUUACUGGGCGUAAAGCGUACGCAGGUGGCUUCGUGAGUCGGACAUGAAAGCUCCCGGCUUAACUGGGAGAGGUUGUUCGAUACUGCGAGGCUUGAGGUUGGGAGAGGGACGUGGAAUUCCCGGUGUAGUGGUGGAAUGCGUAGAUAUCGGGAGGAACACCAGUGGCGCAAGCGGCGUCCUGGCCCACACCUGACGCUGAGGUACGAAAGCGUGGGUAGCAAACAGGAUUAGAUACCCUGGUAGUCCACGCUGUAAACGAUGUCAACUGGGUGUCGGUAGUUUUACACUAUCGG